AUGAAUCUGUUGUGCUGGAAUUGUCGCGGGAUUGGCAACGCCUCGACAAUUCAAGAGCUAUGUGAACUCGCGAAAAAGUUUGCCCCUAGAGUACUUUGCAUAGUUGAAACUCAAAUUAGUAGUGAAAAAGCUGAAAAGUUAGCAGGUACUUUAGGUUAUGAUGAAUCUUUUGCUGUUGAUUCUUCUGGUAGAAGUGGAGGUUUGGCAAUGUUUUGGAAUAAUGAUAUA
RNAcentral lists this ribosomal RNA (228 nucleotides) under Triticum aestivum (bread wheat). RNAcentral describes it as "partial small subunit ribosomal RNA". The record is from RNAcentral. Lineage: Eukaryota; Viridiplantae; Streptophyta; Magnoliopsida; Poales; Poaceae.